RNAcentral lists this long non-coding RNA (7054 nucleotides) under Homo sapiens (human). RNAcentral describes it as "HSALNT0266070". The record is from RNAcentral. Lineage: Eukaryota; Metazoa; Chordata; Mammalia; Primates; Hominidae.
GGUGGGGGGUGGUUUCUCCCAUACUGUUCUCGUGAUAGAGAGUCUCACGAAAUCUUUUGGUUUUAAAAGAGGCAGUUUUUUCCUGUGCUCCUACUUCCAUCUCUUCUGCCACCUUGUGAAGAAGGUGCCUGCUUCCCCUUCACCUUCCGCCAUGAUUGUCAGCUUCCUGAGGCCUCCCCAGACAUGCAGAACUGUCUGAAGUCUCAGUGGGCUCAACCAGUUCCCCUGUUCAACAUUCGGCAAGGUCCAAAUGAAGGUGACAAUCAACAGGGAUCUUAUUGGGAAGCUCUGGUCUGGGGAUGGUAACAGCAUUCCACUGUUCCUGGUAUCUGAGUAUUACAGCAACCUUUGCUGGGGUUUUAAAUCCUGCUCUAACUGAGGACUGUGGUCUACCUGUACUGGAGAUCCAAUUUUCUUAAUCUGAGCAAGAGGCAAGAAUGAAUGUGAAGUCGGAGUAAUGUUCUGAUGGUGUCAGAAGUAGGAUCUGAAGAAGAGACUUAACAAUCCCCAGGAGUGCUGAGUGAACAAGCAAGGUACCUGCAAGGACCUACUUUUGUCCCUUGAUCUCUCAAAGUGGCUGGGGAUCAUGGAUGGAUACAUGUGACCAAGCAUUGCAAGUUAAAGAUAUUUCUGAAUCUUGGACCUCUUAUUUACAGUGAAGCCCCCUCAUGCAUAGUAAAGCAGAGAGGAAUGUAAAAGGUUGCUGCAUGGAUAAUCAAUUUCUGAUGGAGUCUCACUCUGUUGCCCAAGCUGGAGUGCAACAGCAUGAUCUUGGCUUACUGCAACCUCUGCCUCCCGGGUUCAAGCGAUUCUGCUGCCUCAGCCUCCUGAAUAGCUGGAAUUACAGGCACCCACCACCAUACCCAGCUAAUUUUUUGUAUUUUUAGUAGAGACGGGGUUUCACCGUGUUAGCCAGGAUGGUCUUAAUCUGCUGACCUCUUGAUCCACCCACCUUGCCCUCCCAAAGUGCUUAGAUUACUGGCAUGAGCCAUUGCACCAGGUCUUAUUUAUCUUUUUGAGACAGGUUUUAGCUCUGUCACUCAGGCUGGAGUGCAGUGGUGCAAUGAUGGCUCAAUGCAGCACCAACCUCCAGGGCUCAAGUAACCCUCCCACCUCAGCUUCCUGAGUAGCUGGGACCACAAGCGUGUGUCACCAUACCUGACACAUUUCUUAGACCUCAGAAAAGAUGCUCAACACCAUAAGUCACUAGGAAUAUUCAGUAUUCAAAUAGAGGCUUCAAUGGGCUCCGAACUAUCCCCUCCUGAACUCUAUAAAAAGCGUGUUUCCAACCGGCUGAAUGAAAACAAAGGUUUACAUCUGUGAGAUGAAUUCACACAUCAGAAAGCAUUUUCACCAAGAACUUUUCUAGUUUUAUAGCAAGAUGUUCAUUUUUUCAAUAUUGGUCUCAAUGGGCUCCAAAAUGUCCCUUUGUACAGUCUACAAAAAUUUUUGCCAAAGUACUGAAUCAAAACAAAUGUUUAACACUGUGAGAUGAAUUUUCAAGUCACCAAACAUUUUUACAGAUAGUUUGUAUCUACUUUUUAAUCACAAAACUUAGAAUUGUUCACUAUAAGCCUCAAAGGGCUCUAAAUUGUCCCCCUUAGCUUCUACUAAAAGAGAGUUUUGAACCUAGUGUGUAGAAACAAAAGUUUAAGUCUGUGAAAUAAAUCCCCACAUUGCAAAGCUAUUUCACAGAUAGCUUGCUUCUAGUUUUUAUCAUGAAUUAUUCAACUUUUCACUACAGGCCUCAAUGGGCUCUGAAAUGUCCCUUCAUACAUUCUACAAAAAGAGUGUUUCCAACUUAGCUGAAUCAAAAGGAAGUUUAAACUGUAUGAGAUGAAACCGCAAAUUGCAAAGCAUUUUCACAUAUAGCUUCUAUAGUUUCUAUCAUAUAAUAUUCAGUUUUUCACUGUAGGCCUCCAUGGGCUAUGAAAUGUCCCCUCAUAGGUUCUACAGAAAGGUGUUUCCAACAUGCUGAAUGAAAACAAAGAUUUAACUUUGUGAGAUGAACCCACACAUCACAAAACAUUUUUAUGGAUGGAUUUUCUCUAGUUUUUAUUGCAGAAUAUUUGAUUUCAUGCUGUAGGUCUCAAUUUUCUCCAAAAUUUCCCCUUGUAGAUUCUACAAAAAGAAUAUUUCCAAUCUGCUGAAUCAAAACCGAUGUUCAAUUCUGUGAGAUGAUAUGCAAAGCUUUUUCACAGAUAGCCUGUUUCUAGUUUUUAUUGUGGGAUAUUUGGUUUUUCACUAUAAGCAUCAGUGGGCUCUGAAAUUGUCCCUUUGUAGAUUCUACAAAAAGAGGGUUUCCAACCUGUUGAAUCAAAAUAAAGUUUUAACUUUGUAAGAUGAACCCACACAUCGCAAAGCAUUUUCACCCAUAGCUUGUUUCUAAUUUUUACCAUGGGUUAUUGGUUUUUCACUAAAUGCCUCAGUGGACUAGGAAUUGUUGCCUUGUAGAUUGUACAACCAAAGAGUUUCCAACCUGCUGAAGCAAAACACAGGUUUAACUUUGUAAGAUGAAUCUACACAUUGCAAAGCAUUUUUACAGAUAGGUUGCUUUGAGUUUUUAUCAAGAGAUAUUUGAUUUUUCACAGUAUGCUUCAAUGGGUUAUGAAAUCUCCCCUUGUAGAUUCUACAAAAAAAGUUUCCAAACUGAUGAAUCAAAAGAAAAGUUCAACUUGUGAGAUGAAAUCACACAUUACAAAGUAUUUUCAGAAAUAGCUUCUUUAUAGUAUUUCUCGCAGGAUAUUAGAUUUUCCAAUAUUAGCCUCAACGAGCUCUGAAAUGUCCCUUUGUAGAUUGUACAAAAUGAGUGUUUCCAACCUAUGGAAUAAAAAGGAAGGUUUAACUCUGUGAGAUAAAUCCACACAUCACAAAGCAUCUUCACAGAUGGCUUGUUUCUAAUUUUUAUUGUGGGAUAUUCGGUUUUUCACUAAAGGCCUCAAGCACUCCGAAAUGUCCUUUUGUAGAUUCUAUAACAAGAGUGUUUUAAAACUGCUGAAUCAAAACAAACGUGUAACUCUUUGAGAGGAACCCACACAUCACAAAGCAUAUUUUCAGAUCACUUGUUUCUAGUUUUUAAAGCAUGAUAUUCGGUUUUUCACUAUAUGCCUCAUCAGACUCAGAAAUGUCUCAUAGUAGAUUUUACAAAAACAGUGUUUCCUACCUGCUGAAUCAAAACAACAGUUUAAAUCUGUGAGAUGACUCCAAACCUCGCAAAGCAUUUUCACAGAUAGUUUUUUCCUAGUUUUUUUCGCAGGAUAUUUGGUUUUUCAGUAUAGGCCUCAAUGAACUCUGAAAUGUCCAUUCAUAGGUUCUAUAAAAGUGUGUUCCCAACUCCCUGUAUAAUAGCAAAGGUUUAACUCUGUGAAAUGAAUCUAUACAUUGGAAAACAUUUUCACAAAUAGCUUGUUCCUAGCUUUUAUGAUGAGACAUUUGAUUUUUUACUAUUGGCCUCAAUGGGUUCAGAAAUGUCUCUUUGCAGAUUCUACAAAAAAAAAAGUUUUUCAUUUUUCUGAACAAAAAUAAAGGUUUAACUCUUUGAUAUGAAAUCAGACAUCACAAAGAAUUUUCACACAUAGCUUGUUUCUAGGGUUCAUCACUGGAUAUUGUGUUUUUCAUUAUAGGCUUCAAAGGAGUCUUAAUUGUAACUUCCUAAUUCUACAAAAAGAGUGUCCCCCAACCUGCUGUAUGUAAAUAAAGGUUUACCUCUGUGAGAUAAAUCUUCACAUUGCAAAGCAUUUUCCCCGAUAGCUUGUUUCUAGUUUUUAUAUCGGGAUAUUGAUUUUUCACUAUAGGCUUCAAUGGGCUUUGAAAGAUUCCUCUGUAGAUUGUACAAAAAGAGUGUUUUAACCUGCUGAAUCAAAACAACGUUUAACUUUUUGAGAUACAUCCACACAUCACAAAGUAUUUUCACGGAUAGGUUUUUAUUUUAUUUUAUUUUAUUUUUUUUAGAUGGAGUCUCACUCAGUCACCCAGGCUGGAGUGCAGUGGCACGAUCUUGGCUUCCCGGGUUCAUGCCAUUCUCCUGCCUCAGCCUCCCAAGUAGCUGAGACUACAGGUGUCUGCCACCAGGCCAGGCUAAUUUUUUGUGUUUUUAGUAGAGAUGGGGUUUCACCAUGUUAGCCAGGAUGGUCUCGAUCUCCUGACCUCGUGAUCCACCCGCCUCAGCCUUUCAAAGUGCUGGGACUACAGGCGUGAGCCACCAUGCCUGGCCAAUAGCUUUUUUUUACUUUUAUUGUGGAAUAUUGGUUUUUCACUACAGGCUGAUAUUGGCUUCAAAUUGUACCCUCACAGAUUCUACAAACAGUGAAUUUUCAAGCUUCUGAAGCAAAAUAAAGGUUUAACCUUGUAAGAUGAAUCUGCACAUUAUUGCUGGAUAUUCGGUUUUUCACCGUAGGCAUCGAUUUUCUCUGAAAUGUCCUAUUGAAGAUUUUGCCAAAAGAGUGUUUCUACCCUGCUGAAUCAAAAGAAUGGUUUAAUUCUGUGAGAUGAAAUCACCCAUCGUAAAUUAUUUUCAGAGACAUCUUCAUAUAGUUUUUACCUCAGAAUAUUCGGUUUUUCACUAUAAGCCUCAAUGGGCUUUGAAAUGUCUCCCAUAAAUUGUACAAAAAAAAAAAGGAAUUUCCAACCUGUUGAAUCAAAACAAAUAUUUAAUGUUGUGAGAUAAAUUCAAAUAUCGCAAAGCAUUUUCACAGAUUUUUUUUCUACUUUUUAUCACGGAAUAUUUGGUUUUUCACUAUAGUCCUCAGUGGGCUCAGAAAUGCCCCUUGUAGAUUCUACAAAAAGAAUGUUUCUAACCUGCUGAACCAAAACAAUACUUUAACUCUUUGAGGUGAAUCCACACAUUGCAAACAUUUUCACAGAUAGCUUGUUUUUAGUUUUGAUCACGUAAUAUUGGAUGUUUUACAAUAGGCCUCAACGGGCUCAGAAUUGUCCCCUCUUAGAUUCUACUAAAAGAGUGUUUCCAAAAUGCUGUGUAAAAAUAAAGGCUUAACACUGUGAGAUGAAUCGACACAUGACAAAGCAUUUUCACAAGUAGCUUGUUUUUACUUUUCAUCGGGAGAUAUUCAGUUUUUCAAUAUAUUCCUCCAUGGGCUCUGAAAUGUCCCUUCAUAGAUUCUAUGAAAAGACUGUAUCCAACUGAUUGAAUCAAGACAAAGAUAUAACUCUGUGCGAGAAAUCCACACAUCACAAAGCAUUUUCACUGAUAGCUUGUUUCUAGUUUUUAUCACGGGAUAAUUGGUUUUUGACUAUAGGCCUCAAUGGGCUUCAAAAUGUCCUUUCAUAGAUUCUACAAAAAGAGUGCUUCAGUCCUGCUCAAUCAAAGCAAAGGUUUAAUUCUCUGAAAUGAAUCCACAUAUCACAAAUCAUUUUCCAAUAUAGCUUGUUGCUAGUUUUUGUAGUGGGAUAUUUAAUUUUUUACUUUAGACCUCAAUGGGCUCUGAAAUGUGCCUUCUUAGAUUCUACAAAGAGUGUUUCUCACCUGCUAAAUCAAAACAAUGGUUUAACUUUAUGAGAUAAGUCCACACGUCACAAAGCAUUUUUACAAAUAGCUUGUUUCUAAUUUUUAUCAUGGGAUAUUCAGUUUUUUCAGUGUAGGCCUCAAUGGUCUGUGAAAUGUCCCCUCGUAGAUUCUACAAAUAGAGUUGUUGCAAUCUGAUAAAUCAAACAUUUAAUUCUGUGAGAUAAAUCUAUAAAUCUACACAUCUCAAAGCAUUUUCCCAGAUAGCUUGUUUCUGGUUUUUAUCAUGGGAUAUUUGGUUUUUCACUAUAGACCUCAAUAGGCUCUGAAAUGUCCCCUCAUAGAGUCUACAAAAAGAGUGAUUUCAACCUGCUGAAUAAAAACGAAGGUUUAACUCUGUGACAUAAAAUAACAAAUCAUAAAAUAUUUUCACAGUUGGCUUGUUUCUAGUUUUUAUCAUGCAAUACUCAGUUUUUCAUGACAGGGCACAAUGGGCUCCAAAAUGUCCCUUUGUACAUUCUAAAAAAAGAGUGAUUUUGGUCUGCUGAAUAAAAACAAAGGUUUUAUACUGUGAGGAAUCCACACAUAGGCAGGAAUUUUCACAGAUAGCUUGUUUCUAGUUUUCAUCGCAGGAUGUUCGGUUUUUUAAUAUACUUCUUGAUGGACUCUGAAAUAUCCCUUCAUAGACUCUACAAAGAGAGCAUUUACAACCUGCUGAGUAAAAACAAAGGUUUAACCCUGUGAGAUGAAUCCAGACAUCUCAAAGCAUUCUCAUAUAUAACUUGUUUCUAGUUUUUAUCUUGAGAUAUAACGCUUUUAACUUUAGGCCUUAAUGUUCUCUGAAAUGUGCCAUUUUAGUUUCUACAAAAAGAGUGUUUCAAACUGCUGAAUUAAAACAAGGUUUAAGUCUGUGAUAUGAAUUGACACAUCACAAAGUAUUUUCACAGAUAGCUUUUUACUAGGUUUUGUCAUGGGAUUUUCAGUUUUUCACUAAUGGCUUUCAUGUGCUCUGAAAUGUCCCUAUGUAGAUUUUACAAAAAGGGUGUUUCCAGCCUACUGAAUCAAAACAAGGGUUUAAGUCUAUGAGAUAUAUCCAUACAUUGCAAAGCACUUUCGCAGAUUGCUAGUUUCUAGCUUUUAUCAUGAGAUACUUAGUUUUUCACUAUAGACCUCAAUAGGCUCCCAAAUGGCUCUCAUAGAUUGUACAAAAAGAGGGUUUUCAAAGUGCUGAAUCAAAAAAAGUUUUAACUCAGUGAGGUGAAUCCACACAUUGCAAAAUAUUUUCACAGAUAGCUUGUUUUUGUUUGUUUGUUUGUUUGUUUUGUUUUUAUCAUGGGAUAUUUCAUUUUUCACUAUAGGACUCAAUGGGCACCAAAAUGUCUUCUCCUAGAUCCUACAAACUGACUGUUUCCAACUUGCUUAAUCAAAACAAAGGUUUAACUCUGUGAUAUGAAUACACACAUCCCAAAGGAUUUUCACAGAUAGCUUGUUUCUUGUUUAUAUCUCCACGUAUUUUGUUUUUCACUGUAGGUUUCAAUGGGCUUUGAAAUGUUUCUUCGUAGAUUGUGCAAAAAGAGUUUUUCAAAUCUGCCA